UAGGGAAUCUUCGGCAAUGGACGAAAGGCUGACCGAGCAACGCCGCGUGAGUGAAGAAGGUUUUCGGAUCGUAAAACUCUGUUGUUAGAGAAGAACAAGGACGUUAGUAACUGAACGUCCCCUGACGGUAUCUAACCAGAAAGCCACGGCUAACUACGUGCCAGCAGCCGCGGUAAUACGUAGGUGGCAAGCGUUGUCCGGAUUUAUUGGGCGUAAAGCGAGCGCAGGCGGUUUCUUAAGUCUGAUGUGAAAGCCCCCGGCUCAACCGGGGAGGGUCAUUGGAAACUGGGAGACUUGAGUGCAGAAGAGGAGAGUGGAAUUCCAUGUGUAGCGGUGAAAUGCGUAGAUAUAUGGAGGAAUACCGGUGGCGAAGGCGGCCCCCUGGACAAAGACUGACGCUCAGGUGCGAAAGCGUGGGGAGCAAACAGG
This 429-nucleotide ribosomal RNA is filed under the name Chloroflexota bacterium. RNAcentral's name for it is "Chloroflexi bacterium partial 16S ribosomal RNA". It matches the Rfam family "Bacterial small subunit ribosomal RNA", at positions 355 to 776 of the family's 1533-position model. The record is from RNAcentral. Lineage: Bacteria; Bacillati; Chloroflexota.